ACUAACAAGGAUUCCCCUAGUAACUGCGAGUGAAGCGGGAAAAGCUCAAAUUUAAAAUCUGGUGGUCUUUGGCCUCCGAGUUGUAAUUUAGAGAAGCGUUUUCCGCGCUGGACCGUGCACAAGUCUCCUGGAAUGGAGCGUCAUAGAGGGUGAGAAUCCCGUCUUUGGCAUGGACACACCAGGGCUUUUGUGAUGCGCUCUCGAAGAGUCGAGUUGUUUGGGAAUGCAGCUCAAAAUGGGUGGUGAACUCCAUCUAAAGCUAAAUAUUGGCGAGAGACCGAUAGCGAACAAGUACCGUGAGGGAAAGAUGAAAAGCACUUUGGAAAGAGAGUGAAACAGUACGUGAAAUUGUUGAAAGGGAAACGCUUGAAGUCAGUCGCGUCGACCGAGACUCAGCCUUGCCUCGGCUUGGUGUACUUCUCGGCUGACGGGUCAGCAUCAAUUUUGCCCCUUGGAUAAUGGCGAGGGAAAUGUGACACCUUUACGGUGUGUUAUAGUCUCUCGUCGCAUGCAAGGGUUGGGAUUGAGGAACUCAGCACGCACCUUUGGGUGUCGGGGCUUUGCCCACGAUACGUGCUCAGGAUGUUGGCGUAAUGGCUUUAAACGACCCGUCUUGAAACACGGACCAAGGAGUCUAACAUGCCUGCGAGUGUUCGGGUGGAAAACCCGUGCGCGCAAUGAAAGUGAAAGUUGGGACCUCCGUCGUGGAGGGCACCGACGCCCGGACCAGACCUUCUGUGACGGCUCUGCGGUAAAGCAUGUAUGUUAGGACCCGAAAGAUGGUGAACUAUGCCUGAAUAGGGUGAAGCCAGAGGAAACUCUGGUGGAGGCUCGUAGCGAUUCUGACGUGCAAAUCGAUCGUCAAAUUUGGGUAUAGGGGCGAAAGACUAAUCGAACCAU
Molecule: ribosomal RNA, 900 nt
Filed under: Russula sp. 1 LM-2010
Lineage: Eukaryota; Fungi; Basidiomycota; Agaricomycetes; Russulales; Russulaceae
Description: LSU rRNA
Rfam family: Eukaryotic large subunit ribosomal RNA
Source: RNAcentral